AGAGUUUGAUCCUGGCUCAGGAUCAACGCUGGCGGCGUGCCUAAUGCAUGCAAGUCGCACGGGCAGCCUUCGGGCUGUCAGUGGCGAACGGCUGAGGAACACGUGCGUAUCUGCCGGUUCGUGGGGAAUAACGCGGAGAAAUCCGCGCUAAUACCGCGUACGCUCACCUUCAUUGGUGAGGAAAGCCUUCGGGCGCGGACUGAGGAGCGCGCGGCCCAUCAGGUUGAUGGCGGGGUAAUGGCCCACCAUGCCGGUGACGGGUCGCUGGUCUGAGAGGAUGACCAGCCAGACUGGGACUGCGACACGGCCCAGACACCUACGGGUGGCAGCAGCAAGGAAUCUUCCGCAAUGGGCGCAAGCCUGACGGAGCAACGCCGCGUGGAGGACGACGGCCUUCGGGUUGUAAACUCCUUUUCUGGGGGAUGACAUGGACAGUACCCCAGGAAUCAGCCCCGGCUAACUCUGUGCCAGCAGCCGCGGUAAGACAGAGGGGGCAAGCGUUGUCCGGAUUAACUGGGCGUACAGCGCGCGCAGGUGGGUCGGUUAGUCACCUGUGACGUUGUUCGGCUCAACCGAACAGGGUCAGGUGAGACUGCCAGCCUGGAGGGAUGGAGAGGGACGUGGAAUACCCGGUGGAGCGGUGAAAUGCGUAGAGAUCGGGUGGAACACCGCGGUGAAGACGGCGUCCUGGCCAUUACCUGACACUGAGGCGCGACAGCGUGGGGAGCAAACGGGAUUAGAUACCCUAGUAGUCC
This 755-nucleotide ribosomal RNA is filed under the name uncultured bacterium. RNAcentral's name for it is "bacterial SSU rRNA". It matches the Rfam family "Bacterial small subunit ribosomal RNA", at positions 8 to 796 of the family's 1533-position model. The record is from RNAcentral.